CAGACAUUAUCACUCAGAAAGAAAACGUGUUGUUUGUUAGGAGCGCCCUAACCUUGAAGAUUACGACGGAGAAUCCAGUCCCUCUCGGAGCACUUGGUCCGGUAUCGCUUCUCGGCCUUUUGGCUAAGAUCAAGUGUAGUAUCUGUUCUUAUCAGUUUAAUAUCUGAUACGUCCCCUACCCGGGGACCAUAUAUUAAAUUGAUUUUUGGAACAGGGAGAUGGAAUAGGGGCUUGCUCCGUCCACUCCACGCAUCGACCUGGUAUUGCAGUACCUCCAGGAACGGUGCACUCCCCUCGGGGAAAAAUGGCAUGUGGAACAUUAGCAAUUAGCUUCGGCAUUCAGUAUGUUUUAAGCUGCACGAUAACGGGGGCUAUGGUUUUGGUGUGGAUCACAGUUUCUGGAAACGUGUUGGAUUAAAAGAACAUCUAAUCGCCAUCUGUGAGCCUCGGCACGUAAACCGCCAGCCACCCAGAGAUGUCUACAAAGUGGAACUUGAAGCGUCUGUUGGCGUGCACGUGUGGUGCACCAUCAUCCGAUCGGAGGUGCUGCUGUUUGCGGGUUUGAGUCCGGGCGUGUACAGGGCUGAGCCGCGCAGUUCAACACAACACAGGUUACAUUCACCUGGUUUAGGUCCUGCUUGACAUCAAUGAAAUCUUGCUUGUUCCAUUAAAAACAUGUCCGGGUGAUAGGAAUGGGCAUGAUUAAUCGACGAUCGAUCAUUGAUCAUUAAGAAUUUUGUCGAUCACGCUAAUUUGUUAUCGAUUAAACUAAUGCAGGUUGCGUUGCGUAGUGCGAGUCUUGAAGCAUUGACAUGAAUUUCACUGUUGCAAUUAAACAUUUUACCACCCGAGGGCAAUAAUUGACGUCAUAGCCUACCCAGUUACCUGUGAGUUUCCUUUUUGAUUUCAAUAACAAAGUAUUCAUGAAGAGGUCACGACGAAGUGUGGCGUCGGACCAUUAGGAUUUAAAAAACGACUUAGUUCACUGCAAACACUACGAUGCCGUGUAGGCCUAGGCUAUAAGUACACCACAGCCACGACUCAAAUGAUGUAUCGGAAAGUCUAUUUUCGUUUUACGUGUAUGUUUCACUUAAUUCAUUUCUAUACAAACCAAGGCACCGGAUUCCUAAAGAAACGCAAGCACCCACCCCUUAAGUGUAUCUAAAUUCGAUAUGUACAAAAAAAUGACACUACAGUGACUCGAAGAGCUGUAAACAGUGUUGUAAGCUGCGUGUACAAAACCGCUUGGAUACCACUUAAAGUGCAUUCGACCCUGGUUAAUGUCGGUGGCGGCGCAUCCUGCUCUCAGUCUCAACCUAGCAUCAACUCGGCGUUAUAUUAUCUUUUACUGUCUAUGGCUGUGAUGCACAACGAGCAGAGAAAAUUACGAGGGUGUUAAGAACGCCGGCUCGCAGCUGCAGGUUCCGCUGCUCUAGAACACUCCUGCGCAUGUCGGCUAUCUUCAAGUUUAGCCUUACUGAACAUCCAGUUUAACUGCCACAACGUGUUCUUCUUGUAAUAAAGAUCUUAUCGAGGAAAAACACGCUGUAUUUUUUUAUUUUCAUUGCAUUAUAUCAUUUUAUUGCAUUCAUAAUGAAUGUUAAUAUAAAAACAUUAAUGAUUAAUCGAUAGUCGAUUGUUAAUUCUCCCGACGCGACGAUGGACUAAGAAAAUUUAAUCGAAUGCCCAUCCCUACUGGGUGAGAUUAGAUAUGAAAUUGGCCGCUUCAGAAUUAUCUACCCGAUAUCAUUGGUACUGUUAGACAAUGUCCUGAACAGUAUUCUGGCACUUCUUUCACUAUGUAUUGAUUAAUAAAAUGAUUUGAUAAAACUG
Molecule: long non-coding RNA, 1833 nt
Organism: Alosa alosa (allis shad)
Lineage: Eukaryota; Metazoa; Chordata; Actinopteri; Clupeiformes; Clupeidae
Exons: 3
Source: RefSeq, a predicted model, not a curated record